AAAAAGAAAGAAGGAAGAAGAAGGAAGGAAAGAAAAGAAAGAAGGAAAUAAAGAAAAGAAAAGAAAGAAAAGAAAGAAAGAAGAAGGAAAGAAAGAAAAAGGAAGGAAAGAAAAAAAGAAAUAAAGAAAGAAGGAGAAAGAAAGAAAGAAAGAAAGAAGAAAGAAAGAAAGAAAGAAAGAGAAAGAAGAAGGAAGGAAAGAAGAAAGAAAAAAGAAAGAAGGAAAGAGAAGAAAGAAAAGAAAUAAAGAAAGAAAGAAGGAAGAAAGAAAAAAGAAAGAAGAAAGAAGGAAGGAAGGAAAGAAAGAAAAAAGAAAGGAAGGAAGAAAGAAAGAAGGAAGAGAAAGAAGAAGGAAAGAAAGAAGAAAGAAAGAAGGAAAGAAGGAAAGAAAGAGGGAAAGAAAUAAAGAAGGAAAGAGAAAAAGAAAGAAAGAGAAAAAGAAAGAAAGAGAAAGAAAAAGAAAGGAAGAAAGGAAAGAAAGAAAGAAGGAAAGAAAAAGAAAGAAAAGAAAGAAGAAAGAAAGAAAGAAAGAAGAGAAAGAAGAAAGAAAGAAAAGAAAAAGGAAAGAAAGAAAGAAAGAAAGGAAGAAAAAGAAACAAAGAAGGAAGGAAGGAAAGAAAGAAAGAAGGAAGGAAAGAAAGAAAGAAGAAAGAAAAAAGAAAGAAGAAAAAGAAAAAGAAAGAAAAGAAAAAGAAAAAAGAAAAAGAAAGAAAGAAGAAAGAAAGAAAGAAGAAAGAAAAAAGAAGAAGAAAAGAAAAGAAAGAAAGAAAGAAAGAAGGAAGAAAGAAAGAAAGAACGAAAGAAGGAAGGAAGGAAAGAAAAGAAAGAAGGAAGGAAAGAAAGAAAGAAGGAAAGAGAAAAAGAAAGAGAAAGAAAAAGAAAGAAAAAGAAAGGAAGGAAGGAAGGAAGGAAGGAAGGAAGGAAGGAAGAAAGAAAGAAAGAAAGAAAAGAAAGAAAGAAAGAAAGAAAGAAAGAAAAGAAAGAAAGGAAAAGAAAGAAAGAAAGAAAGAAAGAAAGAAAAGAAAGAAAGAAAGAAAGAAAGAAAGAAAAAGACAGACUUGCCUAGUGGUAUGCAAACCCGGGAUAAAAGGAAAACCCAGAACCGGACAACUAGCCGGAGGUUCCGCAAGUAACAUCAACGUGGUUGAGAAGAGGAGGGGCUGGCAUAGCAGCUGGAAGGCUGGAGAAGCAGGGAUGAAACGAAGCCACACUGCAGAGGCCACGCUGUGGCUCACAGGGGAGGGGACACACAGUGGAGGGGGGCUGACCCAGCUCGGCGGCCUGCAACAGGAAGUGGGACGGGCGGCGUGCCAAGCCCGAAGCAGGACCCGGGAAGGGGGAGAGGCCCGUGGCACCCUGUCGCAGGGUCUCCCGGCGGCACGACCCACCGCCCCAAGCCCCGUGCCUCCAGACACGGGCCGCUCCAUCACAGCUUCCGCGGGCCUUGAAGGCCAGGCCACGCCGCGCAGCACUGACUCAGCCUCUCCUCGGGGC
Molecule: long non-coding RNA, 1493 nt
Filed under: Felis catus (domestic cat)
Lineage: Eukaryota; Metazoa; Chordata; Mammalia; Carnivora; Felidae
Description: lncRNA (ENSFCAG00000048822.1)
Source: RNAcentral